GACGUAGGUGGCGAACGUUAUCCGGAAUUAUUGGGCGUAAAGGGUGCGUAGAUGGUCGAAUAAGUUAGCGGUGGGAAAUCGAGGCCCAACCUCGUGGAAGUUGGUAAUACUGUUCGACUGGAGGGCAGGAGAGGUUAACGGAACUCUAUGUGUAGCGGUAAAAUGUGACGAUAUAUAGAUGGACACCAAUAACGGCGAAGGCAGUUAACUAUUCUGUUCCUGACAUUGAGGCAUGAAAGCGUGGGGAGCAAAAAGG
This 256-nucleotide ribosomal RNA is filed under the name uncultured bacterium. RNAcentral describes it as "partial 16S ribosomal RNA". It matches the Rfam family "Bacterial small subunit ribosomal RNA", at positions 524 to 776 of the family's 1533-position model. The record is from RNAcentral.